Molecule: long non-coding RNA, 449 nt
Filed under: Nicotiana tabacum (common tobacco)
Lineage: Eukaryota; Viridiplantae; Streptophyta; Magnoliopsida; Solanales; Solanaceae
Description: long non-coding RNA (NTAB_LNC006949)
Source: RNAcentral
UUGUACCAGUAGGAGACGCACUUCCUAAAAAGUUUCACCGACAGGAGACGCACUUCCUCAAAGUUAAGUUUUACCCAUAGGAGAUGCAUUUCCUCCUAAGUUGUUUUGAAAAAAAAAAACAAAAAAUGACCUAGUCCGAUGAACUUUCUCCUAGGAUCAAAAUCUUAGUCUGACGAAUUUUUCUCCUAAGAUAGAGACCUAGUCUGAUGAACCUUCUCCUAGGAUCAAAAUCUUAGUCCGACGAAUAUUUCUCCUAAGAUAGAGACCUAGUCUGACGAACCUUCUCCUAGGAUCCAAAUCUUAGUCUGAUGAAUCUUUCUCCUAAGAUAACCAAAAAAUGACCUAGUCUGACGAACCUUCUCCUAGGAUCCAAAUCUUAGUCCGAUGAAUCUUUCUCCUAAGAUACCAAAAAGAAAAGACCUAGUCUGAUGAACCUUCUCCUAGGAUCA